AAUGAACGCUGGCGGCAUGCCUAACACAUGCAAGUCGAACGAAGGCUUCGGCCUUAGUGGCGCACGGGUGCGUAACGUGUGGGAAUCUGCCCUCAGGUUCGGAAUAACAGCGAGAAAUUGCUGCUAAUACCGGAUGAUAUCGCGAGAUCAAAGAUUUAUCGCCUGAGGAUGAGCCCGCGUAGGAUUAGCUAGUUGGUGUGGUAAAGGCGCACCAAGGCGACGAUCCUUAGCUGGUCUGAGAGGAUGAUCAGCCACACUGGGACUGAGACACGGCCCAGACUCCUACGGGAGGCAGCAGUGGGGAAUAUUGGACAAUGGGCGAAAGCCUGAUCCAGCAAUGCCGCGUGAGUGAUGAAGGCCUUAGGGUUGUAAAGCUCUUUUACCCGGGAUGAUAAUGACAGUACCGGGGGAAUAAGCUCCGGCUAACUCCGUGCCAGCCGCCGCGGUAA
RNAcentral lists this ribosomal RNA (449 nucleotides) under uncultured bacterium. RNAcentral's name for it is "partial 16S ribosomal RNA". It matches the Rfam family "Bacterial small subunit ribosomal RNA", at positions 29 to 523 of the family's 1533-position model. The record is from RNAcentral.